GCAAUGCGUGCUUUAGCACGAUGUUGGUAAAGCUGACUCCUUUCAAACGGGCAGUUCGAAUGUAUUGUGCGGUCAUUACCUCGGCCAUUGAGGCCCGAGUCAUACGGGCAAUGUAGCCCAUGCCAUAGAAGGCCAUCGUGAUCACCGGCAGGGUAAAAUUGGCAAUGGU
This 169-nucleotide non-coding RNA is filed under the name marine eukaryotic metagenome. RNAcentral describes it as "Ruegeria cis52 sRNA". The stretch from base 6 to 133 matches the Rfam family "Ruegeria cis52 sRNA", at positions 9 to 136 of the family's 179-position model. From Rfam's summary of the family: Cis-encoded. Targets oligo/dipeptide ABC transporter. The record is from RNAcentral.